AGAGUUUGAUCCUGGCUCAGAACGAACGCUGGCGGCAGGCUUAACACAUGCAAGUCGAACGGGCGUAGCAAUACGUCAGUGGCAGACGGGUGAGUAACACGUGGGAACCUUCCUAGGGGUACGGAACAACUCAGGGAAACUUGAGCUAAUACCGUAUACGUCCGUGAGGAGAAAGAUUUAUCGCCCUUAGACGGGCCCGCGUCGGAUUAGCUAGUUGGUGGGGUAACGGCCUACCAAGGCGACGAUCCGUAGCUGAUCUGAGAGGAUGAUCAGCCACACUGGGACUGAGACACGGCCCAGACUCCUACGGGAGGCAGCAGUGGGGAAUCUUGGACAAUGGGCGCAAGCCUGAUCCAGCCAUGCCGCGUGAGUGAAGAAGGCCUUCGGGUUGUAAAGCUCUUUUGUCAGGGACGAUAAUGACGGUACCUGAAGAAUAAGCCCCGGCAAACUUCGUG
This 455-nucleotide ribosomal RNA is filed under the name uncultured bacterium. Its description in RNAcentral is "bacterial SSU rRNA". It matches the Rfam family "Bacterial small subunit ribosomal RNA", at positions 8 to 507 of the family's 1533-position model. The record is from RNAcentral.